Molecule: ribosomal RNA, 494 nt
Filed under: uncultured bacterium
Lineage: Bacteria
Description: partial 16S ribosomal RNA
Rfam family: Bacterial small subunit ribosomal RNA
Source: RNAcentral
GACGAACGCUGGCGGCGUGCUUAACACAUGCAAGUCGAACGGUGAAGCGCCUUCCUUUUUGGUGGGUGUGGAUGAGUGGCGAACGGGUGAGUAACACGUGAGUAACCUGCCCCCUUCUUCUGGAUAACCGCAUGAAAGUGUGGCUAAUACGGGAUAUUCUGGGCCUGUCGCAUGAUGGGUCUGGGAAAGAUAUUGUUUCGGUGGGGGAUGGGCUCGCGGCCUAUCAGCUUGUUGGUGGGGUGAUGGCCUACCAAGGCGGUGACGGGUAGCCGGCCUGAGAGGGUGGACGGUCACACUGGGACUGAGACACGGCCCAGACUCCUACGGGAGGCAGCAGUGGGGAAUAUUGCACAAUGGGCGCAAGCCUGAUGCAGCGACGCCGCGUGAGGGAUGGAGGCCUUCGGGUUGUGAACCUCUUUCGCCAGUGAGGCAGGCCUGCCUCGUUUGUGGGUGGGUUGACGGUAGCUGGAUAAGAAGCGCCGGCUAACUACGUG